CCUACGGGUGGCAGCAGUGGGGAAUAUUCGGCAAUGGGCGCAAGCCUGACCCAGCAACGCCGCGUGAAGGAAAAAGGCCCUCCGGUUGUAAACUUCUUUUAACAGGGACGAAGACAGCGACGGUACCUGUUGCCUAAGCCACGGCUAACUACGUGCCAGCAGCCGCGGUAAUACGUAGGUGGCAAGCGUUAUCCGGAUUUACUGGGUGUAAAGGGCGUGUAGGCGGGAGAGAAAGUCAGAUGUGAAAUUUCAGGGCUCAACCCUGGGACUGCGUUUGAAACUGUUCGUCUUGAGGGAUGGAGAGGCAGGCGGAAUUCCGUGUGUAGCGGUGAAAUGCGUAGAUAUACGGAGGAACACCAGUGGCGAAGGCGGCCUGCUGGACAGUAACUGACGCUGAGGCGCGAAAGCGUGGGGAGCAAACAGGAUUAGAUACCCCUGUAGUC
RNAcentral lists this ribosomal RNA (443 nucleotides) under uncultured bacterium. RNAcentral describes it as "partial 16S ribosomal RNA". It matches the Rfam family "Bacterial small subunit ribosomal RNA", at positions 338 to 795 of the family's 1533-position model. The record is from RNAcentral.